GGCCGUGUAGCUCAAUGGCAGAGCGUCUGACUACGAUGUUCUCAUUAGACAGUAUCAGUAAUCAGAAGGUCGCAGGUUCGACCCCUGUCUCGGUCA
RNAcentral lists this transfer RNA (96 nucleotides) under Pochonia chlamydosporia 170. It matches the Rfam family "tRNA". From Rfam's summary of the family: Transfer RNA (tRNA) molecules are approximately 80 nucleotides in length. Lineage: Eukaryota; Fungi; Ascomycota; Sordariomycetes; Hypocreales; Clavicipitaceae. The record is from Rfam by way of RNAcentral.